UCGCUCUGUUGCCCAGGCUGGAGUGCAGUGGUACAAUCAUAGCCCGCUGCAGCCUUGAACUCCUGUGUUUAAGUAGUCUUCCUGCCUCAGCCUCUCAAAGCACUGGGACCAUAGGCGUGAGCCACUGCUUUCUUCAAAAUUUGACCCAGAAUCCAAUCAAGACAGUGUCUCGCUCUGUUGCCCAGGCUGGAGUGCAGUGGUACAAUCAUAGCCCGCUGCAGCCUUGAACUCCUGUGUUUAAGUAGUCUUCCUGCCUCAGCCUCUCAAAGCACUGGGACCAUAGGCGUGAGCCACUGCUUUCUUCAAAAUUUGACCCAGAAUCCAAUCAAGACAGUGUCUCGCUCUGUUGCCCAGGCUGGAGUGCAGUGGUACAAUCAUAGCCCGCUGCAGCCUUGAACUCCUGUGUUUAAGUAGUCUUCCUGCCUCAGCCUCUCAAAGCACUGGGACCAUAGGCGUGAGCCACUGCUUUCUUCAAAAUUUGACCCAGAAUCCAAUCAAGACAGUGUCUCGCUCUGUUGCCCAGGCUGGAGUGCAGUGGUACAAUCAUAGCCCGCUGCAGCCUUGAACUCCUGUGUUUAAGUAGUCUUCCUGCCUCAGCCUCUCAAAGCACUGGGACCAUAGGCGUGAGCCACUGCUUUCUUCAAAAUUUGACCCAGAAUCCAAUCAAGAGUCUUGCUCUUUUGCCCAGGCUGCAGUGCAGUGGCGCCAUCUCAGCUCACUGCGAGCUCUGCCUCCUGGGUUCACGCCAUUCUCCUGCCUCAGCCUCCCAAAUAGCUUGGACUACAGGGCGACAGUGAUCAUCAGACCGGCAAAAUGAAGGAAUCUUAAGAAAGAUGGCUUAACCCAGUCAGAAGGGACAAGCAUAAUUUUCUUCCAUGGCUAUUGUAAGGGCCCCGGAGACAGAAAUGAUCAUGACGGAUUCAUGGAGGUCCUUGUGAAUUGGGACUUAACCAGGAGGAUUGGGACUUAAUUUGCACAAAAGAGAGUGGAAGAUCAUUGUAGGCAAGGACAACAACACAGAUCCAGCUCUAUGAGAAAUUGCCCACGGGUAGGCACCUGCUCUCUGAAGUUAUGCUUGACAUCGUGGACAGCUUGGACACAGACACUGGAAGCCUAGGCUCCACAUGGAGACUGGUCUGCAGACAUCACCUGUGGCUGUAGGUCUGCAGUCUGACUGGGGCUGCAACUCUGGUCACUUAUUCAUGGAAACAGAUUUACAUGGCAAAUCAUUAAUAAAUGCAGGUGCUUGGA
Molecule: long non-coding RNA, 1251 nt
Organism: Gorilla gorilla gorilla (western lowland gorilla)
Lineage: Eukaryota; Metazoa; Chordata; Mammalia; Primates; Hominidae
Exons: 9
Source: RefSeq, a predicted model, not a curated record